Molecule: ribosomal RNA, 401 nt
Filed under: Austrochloritis astaeus
Lineage: Eukaryota; Metazoa; Mollusca; Gastropoda; Stylommatophora; Camaenidae
Description: partial 16S ribosomal RNA
Rfam family: Archaeal large subunit ribosomal RNA
Source: RNAcentral
CAAAAACAUAGCUAUAUGAAAUUAUAUAUAGUUUUUUCUGCUCAAUGAGAUAUUGAAUAGCCGCAGUACCCUGACUGUGCAAAGGUAGCAAAAUCAAUUGGCUUCUAAUUAAAGUCGUGAAUGAAUGAAUGCAUGGGGGCAAGCUUUACCAUAUGUAUUAUGUAAACUUACUAAGUGAGUGUAAAUUCUCACAAGUUUAGAAUAGACGAGAAGACCCUAGAAAUUUUUAGAAUUUUUUUGUGGGGGCAACAUAGUAGCAAAUAACCUAUUUCAUGUAUAUGAAAAUUUUAUGACAAAUUAAAUUACUCUAGGGAUAACAGCAUAAUAUUGAAAUGUUUGUGACCUCGAUGUUGGAUUAGGACGUUGUGGCUUAGGAGGUCUACAAUCGUGCUCUGUUCGAG